CCUACGGGUGGCAGCAGUCGAGAAUCAUUCACAAUGGGGGAAACCCUGAUGGUGCGACGCCGCGUGGGGGAAUGAAGGUCUUCGGAUUGUAAACCCCUGUCAUGUGGGGGCAAAUUAAAAAGAUAGUACCACAAGAGGAAGAGACGGCUAACUCUGUGCCAGCAGCCGCGGUAAUACAGAUGUCUCAAGCGUUGUUCGGAAUCACUGGGCGUAAAGCGUGCGUAGGCUGUUUCGUAAGUCGUGUGUGAAAGGCGCGGGCUCAACCCGCGGACGGCACAUGAUACUGCGAGACUAGAGUAGUGGAGGGGGAACCGGAAUGCUCGGUGUAGCAGUGAAAUGCGUAGAUAUCGAGAGGAACACUCGUGGCGAAGGCGGGUUCCUGGACAUUAACUGACGCUGAGGCACGAAGGCCAGGGGAGCGAAAGGGAUUAGAUACCCGGGUAGUC
This 446-nucleotide ribosomal RNA is filed under the name uncultured bacterium. Its description in RNAcentral is "partial 16S ribosomal RNA". It matches the Rfam family "Bacterial small subunit ribosomal RNA", at positions 338 to 795 of the family's 1533-position model. The record is from RNAcentral.